CCUACGGGGGGCAGCAGUGGGGAAUAUUGCACAAUGGGGGAAACCCUGAUGCAGCGACGCCGCGUGAGUGAAUAAGUAAUUCGUUAUGUAAAGCUCUAUCAGCAGGGAAGAAAAUGACGGUACCUGAGUAAGAAGCCCCGGCUAACUACGUGCCAGCAGCCGCGGGAAUACGUAGGGGGCAAGCGUUAUCCGGAUUUACUGGGUGUAAAGGGAGCCUAGAUGGGAGUGCAAGUCUGGAGUGAAAGGCUGGGGGUCAACCCCCGGACUGCUGUGGAAACUGUACGGCUGGAGUGCAGGAGAGGAAAGUGGAAUUCGUGGUGUAGCGGUGAAAUGCGUAGAUAUUAGGAGGAACACCAGUGGCGAAGGCGGCUUACUGGAGUGUAACUGACGUUGAGGCACGAAAGCGCGGGGAGCAAACAGGAUUAGAUACCCUUGUAGUU
This 440-nucleotide ribosomal RNA is filed under the name uncultured bacterium. RNAcentral describes it as "partial 16S ribosomal RNA". It matches the Rfam family "Bacterial small subunit ribosomal RNA", at positions 338 to 795 of the family's 1533-position model. The record is from RNAcentral.